CAAAAACAUGUCCUUUUGUUUAUUUAUUUAAGGUCUGGCCUGCCCAAUGAGGUUUUGAAUGGCCGCAGUAUCCUAACUGUGCUAAGGUAGCAUAAUCAUUUGUCUUUUAAUUGAGGGCUUGUAUGAAAGGUUGGACAAGAUAUUAACUUUCUUUAAUUUAAUUUUAAGAAAGUUAAUAUCUAAGUUAAAAAGCUUAAAUUUUUUUGUUGGACGAGAAGACCCUAUAGAUCUUUAUAGUUUUUAGUUUUAGUAAUUUAGUGGUUAAUUUAUUUGGAGUGAAAAAAUNNNNNUAGAAUUUUAUGAACUUCUAUUUUUAUAUUUCAUAUGUUAGUGUUUUUUUGAUCCAUAUAUUUAUGAUUAGAAGAUUAAGUUACCUUAGGGAUAACAGCGUAAUUUCUUUGGAGAGUUCAUAUUGAUAAAGGAGUUUGCGACCUCGAUGUUGGAUUAAAAUGAGUUAUGGAUGCAGAAGUCUAUAUACUGGGUCUUUCGACCCUUAAUUUUUUACAUGAUCUGAGUUCAAACCGGAGA
This 528-nucleotide ribosomal RNA is filed under the name Triatoma migrans. RNAcentral describes it as "partial large subunit ribosomal RNA". It matches the Rfam family "Bacterial large subunit ribosomal RNA", at positions 1808 to 2622 of the family's 2925-position model. The record is from RNAcentral. Lineage: Eukaryota; Metazoa; Arthropoda; Insecta; Hemiptera; Reduviidae.